RNAcentral lists this ribosomal RNA (254 nucleotides) under uncultured bacterium. Its description in RNAcentral is "partial 16S ribosomal RNA". It matches the Rfam family "Bacterial small subunit ribosomal RNA", at positions 524 to 776 of the family's 1533-position model. The record is from RNAcentral.
UACGGAGGUGGCAAGCGUUGUCCGAAGUUACUGGGCGUAAAGCGCGCGUAGGCGGGCUAUUAAGUGAGGGGUGAAAGGCUGAGGCUCAACCUCAUGUUGGUCCUCUCAUACUGAUAGUCUUGAGUGAGGCAGGGAGAAGUGGAAUGGCUGGUGUAGCGGUGAAAUGCGUAGAUAUCAGUCGGAACACCGGUGGCGAAGGCGGCUUCUUGGGCCUUAACUGACGCUGAGGCGCGAAAGCUAGGGUAGCAAACGGG